UAAGGAAUAUUGCUCAAUGGGAGAAAUCCUGAAGCAGCAACGCCGCGUGGAGGAUGAAGGGUCUAUGACUUGUAAACUCCUGUAAAGAAGGAAAAAAUUCCCAUUAGAUGGGAGAUGAUGGUACUUCUGGAGUAAGCCCCGGCUAACUACGUGCCAGCAGCCGCGGUAAUACGUAGGGGGCAAGCGUUGUCCGGAUUUACUGGGUGUAAAGGGUGCUCAGGCGGAUUUGUAAGUCAGAGGUGAAAUCUUACAGCUUAACUGUGAAACUGCCUUGGAUACUGCAAGCCUAGAGUAUGGAAGAGAGUGAUGGAAUAUCUGGUGUAGCAGUGAAAUGCGUAGAUAUCAGAUAGAACACCAAUGGCGAAGGCAGUCACUUGGUCCAUUACUGACGCUAAUGAACGAAAGCGUGGGUAGCAAACA
This 420-nucleotide ribosomal RNA is filed under the name uncultured bacterium. RNAcentral describes it as "bacterial SSU rRNA". It matches the Rfam family "Bacterial small subunit ribosomal RNA", at positions 355 to 774 of the family's 1533-position model. The record is from RNAcentral.